RNAcentral lists this ribosomal RNA (492 nucleotides) under uncultured bacterium. RNAcentral describes it as "partial 16S ribosomal RNA". It matches the Rfam family "Bacterial small subunit ribosomal RNA", at positions 29 to 507 of the family's 1533-position model. The record is from RNAcentral.
AGUGAACGCUGGCGGUAGGCCUAACACAUGCAAGUCGAACGGCAGCACAGUAAGAGCUUGCUCUUACGGGUGGCGAGUGGCGGACGGGUGAGGAAUACAUCGGAAUCUACUUUUUCGUGGGGGAUAACGUAGGGAAACUUACGCUAAUACCGCAUACGACCUACGGGUGAAAGCAGGGGAUCUUCGGACCUUGCGCGAUUGAAUGAGCCGAUGUCGGAUUAGCUAGUUGGCGGGGUAAAGGCCCACUAAGGCGACGAUCCGUAGCUGGUCUGAGAGGAUGAUCAGCCACACUGGAACUGAGACACGGUCCAGACUCCUACGGGAGGCAGCAGUGGGGAAUAUUGGACAAUGGGCGCAAGCCUGAUCCAACCAUACCGCGUGGGUGAAGAAGGCCUUCGGGUUGUAAAGCCCUUUUGUUGGGAAAGAAAAGCAGCAGGUUAAUACCCCGCUGUUCUGACGGUACCCAAAGAAUAAGCACCGGCUAACUUCGUG